GGCGAGAGACCGAUAGCGAACAAGUACCGUGAGGGAAAGAUGAAAAGAACUUUGAAAAGAGAGUUAAACAGUACGUGAAAUUGUUGAAAGGGAAACGAUUAAAGUCAGUCGUACUAACGGGGAAUCAACCUUUUGAGGGUGGACUUGUGGGAUUCGAAGUGCCUUUGUUUUUCACAACCUGCUUUUUUUGGGUGCACUUUCUCGUAUUGUAGGUCAACAUCGGUUUCGACCGUUAUAAAA
This 240-nucleotide ribosomal RNA is filed under the name uncultured Glomus. Its description in RNAcentral is "partial 23S ribosomal RNA". It matches the Rfam family "Eukaryotic large subunit ribosomal RNA", at positions 325 to 563 of the family's 3401-position model. The record is from RNAcentral. Lineage: Eukaryota; Fungi; Glomeromycota; Glomeromycetes; Glomerales; Glomeraceae.